Molecule: ribosomal RNA, 484 nt
Filed under: uncultured bacterium
Lineage: Bacteria
Description: partial 16S ribosomal RNA
Rfam family: Bacterial small subunit ribosomal RNA
Source: RNAcentral
AUUGAACGCUGGCGGCAGGCCUAUCACAUGCAAGUCGAGCGGAUGAAGGGAGCUUGCUCCUGGAUUCAGCGGCGGACGGGUGAGUAAUGCCUAGGAAUCUGCCUGGUAGUGGGGGAUAACGUCCGGAAACGGGCGCUAAUACCGCAUACGUCCUGAGGGAGAAAGUGGGGGAUCUUCGGACCUCACGCUAUCAGAUGAGCCUAGGUCGGAUUAGCUAGUUGGUGGGGUAAAGGCCUACCAAGGCGACGAUCCGUAACUGGUCUGAGAGGAUGAUCAGUCACACUGGAACUGAGACACGGUCCAGACUCCUACGGGAGGCAGCAGUGGGGAAUAUUGGACAAUGGGCGAAAGCCUGAUCCAGCCAUGCCGCGUGUGUGAAGAAGGUCUUCGGAUUGUAAAGCACUUUAAGUUGGGAGGAAGGGCAGUAAGUUAAUACCUUGCUGUUUUGACGUUACCAACAGAAUAGGCACCGGCUAACUUCGUG